This 90-nucleotide transfer RNA is filed under the name Achromobacter xylosoxidans. RNAcentral's name for it is "tRNA-Ser". It matches the Rfam family "tRNA". From Rfam's summary of the family: Transfer RNA (tRNA) molecules are approximately 80 nucleotides in length. Lineage: Bacteria; Pseudomonadati; Pseudomonadota; Betaproteobacteria; Burkholderiales; Alcaligenaceae. The record is from RNAcentral. RNAcentral also lists the same sequence under 3 other names.
GGAAGCGUGGCCGAGCGGUUGAAGGCACCGGUCUUGAAAACCGGCAAGGGUUUACGCCCUUCGUGGGUUCGAAUCCCACCGCUUCCGCCA